GGCUUAGAGUUUGAUCCUGGCUCAGAUUGAACGCUGGCGGCAUGCCUUACACAUGCAAGUCGAACGGCAGCGCGGACUUCGGUCUGGCGGCGAGUGGCGAACGGGUGAGUAAUACAUCGGAACGUACCCUGUUGUGGGGGAUAACUAGUCGAAAGAUUAGCUAAUACCGCAUACGACCUGAGGGUGAAAGCGGGGGACCGAAAGGCCUCGCGCAGCAGGAGCGGCCGAUGUCUGAUUAGCUAGUUGGUGGGGUAAAGGCCCACCAAGACGACGAUCAGUAGCUGGUCUGAGAGGACGAUCAGCCACACUGGGACUGAGACACGGCCCAGACUCCUACGGGAGGCAGCAGUGAGGAAUUUUGGACAAUGGGGGCAACCCUGAUCCAGCAAUGCCGCGUGUGUGAAGAAGGCCUUCGGGUUGUAAAGCAACUUUUGUCCGGAAAGAAAUUGCUCUGGCUAAU
This 460-nucleotide ribosomal RNA is filed under the name uncultured bacterium. RNAcentral's name for it is "SSU rRNA". It matches the Rfam family "Bacterial small subunit ribosomal RNA", at positions 1 to 464 of the family's 1533-position model. The record is from RNAcentral.